Molecule: ribosomal RNA, 492 nt
Filed under: uncultured bacterium
Lineage: Bacteria
Description: partial 16S ribosomal RNA
Rfam family: Bacterial small subunit ribosomal RNA
Source: RNAcentral
AGUGAACGCUGGCGGUAGGCCUAACACAUGCAAGUCGAACGGCAGCACAGUAAGAGCUUGCUCUUACGGGUGGCGAGUGGCGGACGGGUGAGGAAUACAUCGGAAUCUACUUUUUCGUGGGGGAUAACGUAGGGAAACUUACGCUAAUACCGCAUACGACCUACGGGUGAAAGCAGGGGAUCUUCGGACCUUGCGCGAUUGAAUGAGCCGAUGUCGGAUUAGCUGGUUGGCGGGGUAAAGGCCCACCAAGGCGACGAUCCGUAGCGGGUCUGAGAGGAUGAUCAGGCACACUGGAACUGAGACACGGUCCAGACUCCUACGGGAGGCAGCAGUGGGGAAUAUUGGACAAUGGGCGCAAGCCUGAUCCAGCCAUACCGCGUGGGUGAAGAAGGCCUUCGGGUUGUAAAGCCCUUUUGUUGGGAAAGAAAAGCAGCAGGUUAAUACCCCGCUGUUCUGACGGUACCCAAAGAAUAAGCACCGGCUAACUUCGUG